GGGACCUUGUCAAUGAUGUUUAUUGAAUAGGAGACUGUUUACUCUGUUGUGUGACUAGAAUAUCAAAAUCCGUCACUCAGUUGAAAUGCAGCUGGUUCGGGCUGAGUGACUGAGUUCUCCUUGGAGGAAAGCAGCAGACAUCUUAAGCUCGGCCCUGAAGUUGAAAGUGAAACACUGUGGCAGCGUUUCAGAGGGAAAACACCACAUAUUUCUCCUGUGCUCAAAUAUUUUAUUUCAGCAUCGAAAGCAUUAUCUGGAACCGCAUGUUUUUUAAAUUGCACAAAUAAGUUAAGACUAGGCAACUGUUUUAACGGCCUCCUUGUAAAAGACAAUUGCAGUUCUGUGAGGCUGUAAAUAAAGGAGAGAGGCGGAGGUCACAGAAGACAGGAUGUUUUUCACACCCCUUCAUAUUAUGAAUAAAGCAGCGGUCUGCUUAUGUAGUUUUUGCCAGGUGUCUUGGUGCAUCCACUUCCUUUACAGCCUCGCUGAAUGCUCCGGUACUCGCGGGACACGACGCCGCGUGCGUUAUUUCGUUUAACAGUUCGCCGGCGCUCUUUCGUCCGCGCGCACUCACACUUCCAUCCACCUUCUAAUCACGUUGGAACCAUGAAAACACCCCCCACCCCCCGCUUCCUGCACCGGACAACCAACGCAAGAGUGGAAUUUCUAUACAUAUCAUAAGCGCAGAGGGGAAUUAAGACAAUUUAAUAAAGGCUUAACGCGCCGGGGUUGUCUCUGCUGCGCCUAAAGCCAUAUUUCCUCUGAUCAGCGGAGGAAGGAGACUUUAUUGGACAUGUUUCUAUUUCCAAAUCCGCAUAACGGGCAACGAUGCAUGCAUUUCCUAUAAUGUAGAUAAGGGAGAGAGGGUUUGAUAUGUAAUAAAAGGUGGGUCUGUGCUGCCUGUUUAAGCCCCUUAAGCCUGAUAAAUGAUGAGCGACAGAGGCACAGCAAGAGGGUCACCGCUAUUAACUCCUCGCUUUCCACUUAAACUUCUCUCAAUUACAGCUGGUAAUGUGGCUGGAUACGGGCCUUAUAGGCUUCGAGCUGUUCAAUCAAACCGAAAUAAAAAAGAAUAAAAAAUUUUAAAAAAGGAAAGAAAAUAAUACGCAAAUCUCCACGGGCGUCUUUGUUGCUGUAGGUAUGAGGCCGUCCCUGAAGCCACGUGUUAGGAGAGGGGGGGGGGAAAAUGAGGCUUUGGAGCUGAAGAAUUUACAGUUAGUCGCGAAACUUUUACAAGUAUUUGAGUUGCUCACUCUACUUUCUGAAAGCCUAUAGUCGCAAUUCACUCCGGGGGGGUCAAAAGAAGUUCAGAAUCAGAUGACUGAGGUAAUCGAAGAUUAAACCAUCGUAAAACCUGUCGAUUAAAGAAUUGAAUCAAAUCCGUGAAAUGAUUAAACGAGCGCAGCCGUUGCAUUUGGGGCAGAACGUGUUUGCAGAUGCACGUUACAUGCAUUUGCAGCCGCAUUUCUUCUCAUUACCGAACUCCUGCAGAGAGAAG
Molecule: long non-coding RNA, 1498 nt
Organism: Gasterosteus aculeatus aculeatus (three-spined stickleback)
Lineage: Eukaryota; Metazoa; Chordata; Actinopteri; Perciformes; Gasterosteidae
Source: Ensembl